Molecule: ribosomal RNA, 427 nt
Filed under: uncultured soil bacterium
Lineage: Bacteria
Description: bacterial SSU rRNA
Rfam family: Bacterial small subunit ribosomal RNA
Source: RNAcentral
GAACCUUACCUGGGCUCGAACGGCUGGCUAACGGCGGUGGAAACACCGCUACCCCGCAAGGGGGUCCAGUCGAGGUGCUGCAUGGCUGUCGUCAGCUCGUGUCGUGAGAUGUUGGGUUAAGUCCCGCAACGAGCGCAACCCUUGUCCUGUGUUGCCAUGCCGAAAGGCGGAACUCGCAGGAGACCGCCAGCGAUAAGCUGGAGGAGGGUGGGGAUGACGUCAAGUCCUCAUGGCCUUUAUGUCCAGGGCUACACACGUGCUACAAUGGAUGGUACAAACCGCAGCAAACCCGCGAGGGGGAGCCAAUCGGAAAAAACCGUUCUCAGUUCGGAUUGCAGGCUGCAACUCGCCUGCAUGAAGCUGGAAUCGCUAGUAAUGGCAGAUCAGCACGCUGCCGUGAAUACGUUCCCGGGCCUUGUCACACCGA